This 808-nucleotide ribosomal RNA is filed under the name uncultured bacterium. RNAcentral's name for it is "bacterial SSU rRNA". It matches the Rfam family "Bacterial small subunit ribosomal RNA", at positions 86 to 894 of the family's 1533-position model. The record is from RNAcentral.
UGAUGGCGACCGGCGCACGGGUGAGUAACGCGUAUGCAACUUACCUAUCAGAGGGGGAUAGCCCGGCGAAAGUCGGAUUAAUACCCCAUAAAACAGGGGUCCCGCAUGGGAAUAUUUGUUAAAGAUUCAUCGCUGAUAGAUAGGCAUGCGCUCCAUUAGGCAGUUGGCGGGGUAACGGCCCACCAAACCGACGAUGGAUAGGGGUUCUGAGAGGAAGGUCCCCCACAUUGGUACUGAGACACGGACCAAACUCCUACGGGAGGCAGCAGUGAGGAAUAUUGGUCAAUGGCCGAGAGGCUGAACCAGCCAAGUCGCGUGAAGGAAGAAGGAUCUAUGGUUUGUAAACUUCUUUUAUAGGGGAAUAAAGUGGAGGACGUGUCCUUUUUUGUAUGUACCCUAUGAAUAAGCAUCGGCUAACUCCGUGCCAGCAGCCGCGGUAAUACGGAGGAUGCGAGCGUUAUCCGGAUUUAUUGGGUUUAAAGGGUGCGUAGGUGGUGAUUUAAGUCAGCGGUGAAAGUUUGUGGCUCAACCAUAAAAUUGCCGUUGAAACUGGGUUACUUGAGUGUGUUUGAGGUAGGCGGAAUGCGUGGUGUAGCGGUGAAAUGCAUAGAUAUCACGCAGAACUCCGAUUGCGAAGGCAGCUUACUAAACCAUAACUGACACUGAAGCACGAAAGCGUGGGGAUCAAACAGGAUUAGAUACCCUGGUAGUCCACGCAGUAAACGAUGAUUACUAGGAGUUUGCGAUACAAUGUAAGCUCUACAGCGAAAGCGUUAAGUAAUCCACCUGGGGAGUACGCCGGCAACGG